Molecule: ribosomal RNA, 84 nt
Filed under: uncultured bacterium
Lineage: Bacteria
Description: partial 16S ribosomal RNA
Source: RNAcentral
AGUGUAAAAUACCUUUCGCAGGGACGAAACCCGAAGCAAUCGGGCCGACGGUACCUGAAGAAGAAGCCCCGGCUAACUCCGUGC